This 642-nucleotide ribosomal RNA is filed under the name uncultured bacterium. Its description in RNAcentral is "bacterial SSU rRNA". It matches the Rfam family "Bacterial small subunit ribosomal RNA", at positions 164 to 807 of the family's 1533-position model. The record is from RNAcentral.
UAAUACCGCAUAAUGUCUACGGACCAAAGGGGGCUUCGGCUCUCGCCUUUAGAUUGGCCCAAGUGGGAUUAGCUAGUUGGUGAGGUAAUGGCUCACCAAGGCGACGAUCCCUAGCUGGUUUGAGAGGAUGAUCAGCCACACUGGGACUGAGACACGGCCCAGACUCCUACGGGAGGCAGCAGUGGGGAAUAUUGCACAAUGGGCGCAAGCCUGAUGCAGCCAUGCCGCGUGUGUGAAGAAGGCCUUCGGGUUGUAAAGCACUUUCAGUCAGGAGGAAAGGUUAACGGUUAAUACCCGUUAGCUGUGACGUUACUGACAGAAGAAGCACCGGCUAACUCCGUGCCAGCAGCCGCGGUAAUACGGAGGGUGCGAGCGUUAAUCGGAAUUACUGGGCGUAAAGCGUACGCAGGCGGUUUGUUAAGCGAGAUGUGAAAGCCCCGGGCUCAACCUGGGAACUGCAUUUCGAACUGGCAAACUAGAGUGUGAUAGAGGGUGGUAGAAUUUCAGGUGUAGCGGUGAAAUGCGUAGAGAUCUGAAGGAAUACCGAUGGCGAAGGCAGCCACCUGGGUCAACACUGACGCUCAUGUACGAAAGCGUGGGGAGCAAACGGGAUUAGAUACCCCGGUAGUCCACGCCGUAAAC